GCUCUCAUUUCAGCAGAACAUACACUAAAAUUGGAACAAUAAAGAGAUUAGGAUGACCCCAGCACUAGGAUGACAUGCAACCUUAAAAGGUAUUCCAUUUUAUC
Molecule: small nuclear RNA, 104 nt
Organism: Apodemus sylvaticus (European woodmouse)
Lineage: Eukaryota; Metazoa; Chordata; Mammalia; Rodentia; Muridae
Source: RefSeq, a predicted model, not a curated record